Non-coding RNA from Xyrichtys novacula (pearly razorfish), 73 nucleotides. Lineage: Eukaryota; Metazoa; Chordata; Actinopteri; Labriformes; Labridae. The record is from the annotation of a GenBank genome assembly.
GUCCACAUAGCUCAGAGGGUAAGAACACUGACUGCAACUCUUGAGGUUGUGGGUUCGAUCCCCGCCUUGUCCA